Actinia tenebrosa (Australian red waratah sea anemone) is the source of this 244-nucleotide long non-coding RNA. The record is from RefSeq and is a predicted model, not a curated record. Lineage: Eukaryota; Metazoa; Cnidaria; Anthozoa; Actiniaria; Actiniidae.
GAGUGGGAAAAACUUCCUAAAAAGAGUUAGUAUUGCGAUGUCGAGGAGUUCGGGAUCUGGUGACUUGAACAAGCAAAGCGCUCCAUCAACGGCUACUGAAGACAGAAAACAAAGUGUUAGCCAGGGUGCAGGAGAAUCAAAGGAAAAAGAGAGACGAAGAGCAGACAAAAAGGAUGGCAAAAAGCAAUACACAGCAGAAGAAUUCCGAGCACUAAAAAAGAAAGUUCAGUCCACAGGAAAGUUA